GACGAACGCUGGCGGCGUGCCUAAUACAUGCAAGUAGAACGCUGAAGAGAGGAGCUUGCUCUUCUUGGAUGAGUUGCGAACGGGUGAGUAACGCGUAGGUAACCUGCCUUGUAGCGGGGGAUAACUAUUGGAAACGAUAGCUAAUACCGCAUAACAAUGGAUGACACAUGUCAUUUAUUUGAAAGGGGCAAUUGCUCCACUACAAGAUGGACCUGCGUUGUAUUAGCUAGUAGGUGAGGUAAUGGCCCACCUAGGCGACGAUACAUAGCCGACCUGAGAGGGUGAUCGGCCACACUGGGACUGAGACACGGCCCAGACUCCUACGGGAGGCAGCAGUAGGGAAUCUUCGGCAAUGGGGGCAACCCUGACCGAGCAACGACGCGUGAGUGAAGAAGGUUUUCGGAUCGUAAAGCUCUGUUGUAAGUCAAGAACGGGUGUGAGAGUGGAAAGUUCACACUGUGACGGUAGCUUACCAGAAAGGGACGGCUAACUACGUG
This 497-nucleotide ribosomal RNA is filed under the name uncultured bacterium. Its description in RNAcentral is "partial 16S ribosomal RNA". It matches the Rfam family "Bacterial small subunit ribosomal RNA", at positions 28 to 507 of the family's 1533-position model. The record is from RNAcentral.